This is a non-coding RNA of Phrynosoma platyrhinos (Desert horned lizard), 71 nucleotides long. The record is from the annotation of a GenBank genome assembly. NCBI's taxonomy places the organism in Eukaryota, Metazoa, Chordata, Lepidosauria, Squamata, Phrynosomatidae.
GCCAGUGUGGUGUAAUGGUUUGACAUUGGACUUUGACUUUGGAAUGCAGGGUUCUAAUCCCUGCUUAGCCA